Long non-coding RNA from Mus musculus (house mouse), 1107 nucleotides. RefSeq annotates it as predicted gene, 41653. Lineage: Eukaryota; Metazoa; Chordata; Mammalia; Rodentia; Muridae. The record is from RefSeq and is a predicted model, not a curated record. The transcript has 3 exons.
GAACCCAGGGAGGACUGCUUAUAUACACCCCAGCACUGGGGAGAGCUAUGUGUCCUCCUGGGAUUGGUCAGUCUGCCCGCACUUUAAUUUGUAUGUACCUGCUCUGGAGGGGUUGGCGCCAGAUUCGGGCUAGCGCCUGCGCAGUGGCGUUGUUUACGGUGCCAUCUUUUAGGCGCCAGAUGCCUACAUUACGCACGCUGUCUGCUAAAACUACAUUCUCAGGGUCCAGUGAGACAGCUCAUAGGGCAAUUGCAUUUGCUAAGGGAUUUGAAUACCUGUGUCUGAUCUCUGGGUCUGUGAUGGUAUUCUUUACUCGUCAACUUGACUGUAUCUGGACUGAGCUACAGUUCAGAAUGGAGGACACACCUGUGGUCAUGAUCUUGAGGCUGGAGGGCUACAUAUCUUUGAUCCAGGAUUUGAGAAUGGAAGACAUAGGGUUUUGAUCUGAGGUGAGAGGACACUUGCUUCCCAUCCAGAUCUUGAGGCACAUCUUUAAUCUGGACCACACCUUCAGCUGGAAUCCUAUAUAAGAACAGUGGAAGAAGAAGGGCUCAUUCAUUCCUCACCUGAUUACCUCCACUCUGCCAGCAUAGCUGCUUCUUCACUGGCACUGGAUCCUAAUACUUCAAGAUUCCAGCUUCUACAUAAGAUCAGCUGAGACUCCAGACACAUGUGACUGAACAACUACUAGAUGCUUGGACUUUCCAUUCGCAGGGGAUCAUUUCUGGAUGAGUUGUACCGCAGCAUAGAACAGACAUCACAGUCUAAAGAAGGUCUGGAACUACCUGUGAUUUCAUGCAUCCUUUGAGGAGAAUGGGAUUCCACUAGAGAUGACACUUCUGAAAUGGGCAGCGCAGCCAGUGCUGCACUGAAGAUAUUUCACCCACAACAACCCAUCUAUAUGUAUUUCUUUUAAAGCUGAUGUAGCUGGAUAGCUGUCUGCAGUCUAGUUGUUAUGCAUGUGUGUGCAGUGCCUUCAGAGGCUGUAAGAGGGUAUCAGACCAUUGGAGUUGCAGCUGCUUGUGAAGUGCCUUCAUAGCAAUGCACAUGGAAGUUGGGUCUGCUGUAAAGGCAGAGAGUGCUCUUAACUGUUGAGCUCUCUUUGCA